UAAGGUUAAGUUAAUAAGGGCGCACGGUGGAUGCCUUGGCACUAGAAGCCGAAGAAGGACGUGACUAACGACGAAAUGCUUUGGGGAGCUGUAAGUAAGCGCUGAUCCAGAGAUGUCCGAAUGGGGGAACCCACUAGCUACUGGCUAGUAUCCAUAACUGUUAAGGUUAUGAGAAGGAAGACGCAGUGAACUGAAACAUCUAAGUAGCUGCAGGAAGAGAAAGCAAACGCGAUUGCCUUAGUAGCGGCGAGCGAAACGGCAGGAGGGCAAACCGAGAAGUUUACUUCUCGGGGUUGUAGGACUGCGACGUGGGACUUUAAAAGGAUAGAAGAAUUACCUGGGAAGGUAAGCCAAAGAGAGUAAUAGCCUCGUAUUUAAAAUUCUUUUGAGCCCUAGCAGUAUCCUGAGUACGGCGAGACACGCGAAAUCUCGUCGGAAUCUGGGAGGACCAUCUCCCAACCCUAAAUACUCUCUAGUGACCGAUAGUGAACCAGUACCGUGAGGGAAAGGUGAAAAGCACCCCGGGAGGGGAGUGAAAUAGAACCUGAAACCGUGUGCCUACAACAAGUUCGAGCCCGUUAAUGGGUGAGAGCGUGCCUUUUGUAGAAUGAACCGGCGAGUUACGAUAUGAUGCGAGGUUAAGUUGAAGAGACGGAGCCGCAGGGAAACCGAGUCUUAAUAGGGCGACUUAGUAUCAUGUUGUAGACCCGAAACCAUGUGACCUACCCAUGAGCAGGUUGAAGGUGCGGUAAGACGCACUGGAGGACCGAACCAGGGCACGUUGAAAAGUGCUUGGAUGACUUGUGGGUAGCGGAGAAAUUCCAAACGAACUUGGAGAUAGCUGGUUCUCUCCGAAAUAGCUUUAGGGCUAGCGUCGAUGUUAAGUCUCUUGGAGGUAGAGCACUGUUUGGGUGAGGGGUCCAUCUCGGAUUACCAAUCUCAGAUAAACUCCGAAUGCCAACGAGAUAUAAUCGGCAGUCAGACUGCGAGUGCUAAGAUCCGUAGUCGAAAGGGAAACAGCCCAGACCACCAGCUAAGGUCCCAAAAUAUAUGUUAAGUGGAAAAGGAUGUGGGGUUGCACAGACAACUAGGAUGUUAGCUUAGAAGCAGCUAUUCAUUCAAAGAGUGCGUAAUAGCUCACU
This 1142-nucleotide ribosomal RNA is filed under the name Streptococcus dysgalactiae subsp. equisimilis. Its description in RNAcentral is "bacterial LSU rRNA". It matches the Rfam family "Bacterial large subunit ribosomal RNA", at positions 1 to 1146 of the family's 2925-position model. Lineage: Bacteria; Bacillati; Bacillota; Bacilli; Lactobacillales; Streptococcaceae. The record is from RNAcentral.